This 253-nucleotide ribosomal RNA is filed under the name uncultured bacterium. Its description in RNAcentral is "partial 16S ribosomal RNA". It matches the Rfam family "Bacterial small subunit ribosomal RNA", at positions 524 to 776 of the family's 1533-position model. The record is from RNAcentral.
UACGUAGGGUGCAAGCGUUGUCCGGAAUUAUUGGGCGUAAAGAGCUUGUAGGCGGUUUGUCGCGUCUGCCGUGAAAGUCCGGGGCUCAACUCCGGAUCUGCGGUGGGUACGGGCAGACUAGAGCGAUGUAGGGGAGACUGGAAUUCCUGGUGUAGCGGUGAAAUGCGCAGAUAUCAGGAGGAACACCGAUGGCGAAGGCAGGUCUCUGGGCAUUAACUGACGCUGAGGAGCGAAAGCAUGGGGAGCGAACAGG